AGAGUUUGAUCCUGGCUCAGAUUGAACGCUGGCGGCAUGCCUUACACAUGCAAGUCGAACGGCAGCACGGGAGCAAUCCUGGUGGCGAGUGGCGAACGGGUGAGUAAUACAUCGGAACAUGUCCAGUAGUGGGGGAUAGCCCGGCGAAAGCCGGAUUAAUACCGCAUACGAUCCAUGGAUGAAAGCGGGGGACCUUCGGGCCUCGCGCUAUUGGGGUGGCCGAUGGCAGAUUAGGUAGUUGGUGGGGUAAAGGCCUACCAAGCCGACGAUCUGUAGCUGGUCUGAGAGGACGACCAGCCACACUGGGACUGAGACACGGCCCAGACUCCUACGGGAGGCAGCAGUGGGGAAUUUUGGACAAUGGGCGCAAGCCUGAUCCAGCAAUGCCGCGUGUGUGAAGAAGGCCUUCGGGUUGUAAAGUACUUUUGUCCGGAAAGAAAUCCUGAUGGCUAAUAUCCGUCGGGGAUGACGGUACCGGAAGAAUAAGCACCGGCUAACUACGUGCCAGCAGCCGCGGUAAUACGUAGGGUGCGAGCGUUAAUCGGAAUUACUGGGCGUAAAGCGUGCGCAGGCGGUGAUGUAAGACCGAUGUGAAAUCCCCGGGCUUAACCUGGGAACUGCAUUGGUGACUGCAUCGCUGGAGUAUGGCAGAGGGGGGUAGAAUUCCACGUAGCAGUGAAAUGCGUAGAGAUGUGGAGGAAUACCGAUGGCGAAGGCAGCCCCCUGGGCCAAUACUGACGCUCAUGCACGAAAGCGUGGGGAGCAAACAGGAUUAGAUACCCCGGUAGUCC
This 791-nucleotide ribosomal RNA is filed under the name uncultured bacterium. RNAcentral describes it as "bacterial SSU rRNA". It matches the Rfam family "Bacterial small subunit ribosomal RNA", at positions 8 to 796 of the family's 1533-position model. The record is from RNAcentral.